CAACCUAUUGAAUAAUAAGGGCGCAACUUUAAAUGGCAAAUAUAAUUAACCAAUCUUUAUCAUAUAUUUCCAACCAAAAACCUUCCCACAAGUAAUGCUGCUGUCCAAAAGGAAACUUCCAUUUAAGAAGACAGCCACUAUGUUUUGCAAAUUCCAUUAUUUGGUGGGGAAUGGAGGGGGGGAGAAAAAGGAUGAACCACAGCUCAUGCAUGUAUUUUUUCCAGACCCACCCAUGUGUUCAUAAAUGACAAGACUGAGUGAAGCGGAAGGAAAGCAAGAAAUCAUCAUCUGCAAUAGAUACAUUGAGGACAAAGGUAAGGCCCAAUUCCCAUACCUGACUCUCAGAAUGUGAAAUACCUUCUGAUGCUAUCAUUCAAGUUCUUUUGCCUUUAAUUCUGGAUGGUCCUUCAGCUGAUGCUAAGCCAAUGCUUAAUGGACACCAUAGCUUCAUGCUUCAGUUGAUAAGGUCUGUCAGCUUGGUGGAUCUGAAAGUAUGUAUUAGGGAUUCCAGAAACCUAGCUGCUCAUAAGUCAAUAUUUCUCCAAUCCCACAUUCAUCACCAUAUCAUUUUGGUUAAGGAGGGACUUCAGGAAGAAAUCAAAUCUUUCAACGAUCUCUAUAUGUAGAAAAGUUUAGAAAACUAACUAAAAACUUAAAAACAGUAUUAAAUCAGAGACCAAACAAAGUAAACAAGGGAAAAAGGAAAAGAAGAAGCUCAGAUCUGCCAUUGGAAAAUAAGGCAUUGCAAGUUCCUCUGCACCUUAACCAUAAGGUGGCCGCAAGCGGUUGCCUGCAGUGCAGCAGACCGUCCAAGCUUGCCUUGCCACUACAACAAGAACAGAAAUGCUCUCUCUCUCUCUCCCCCCCUCACACACACAGAGAGUAAACGAAAAAGCCUCUUUAGGUGCAUCUGACACUGGCAAUCAUCAUAGCCUCUUUAUAAAUAGAUCACUGCUGCUGAUCCUCUGUAUGAAAAGCAUUAUUCCAGAAGAGACAGAAAUAGGACGGAGAGGGAAAAGAAAAAAACAUGGAACAAAAGCUUGAACUCUGCCUUACAGCAGAUCAUCCAGAGUUCUCCAUGCUCACGAUCGCAGAGGAAGACAUGAAUACAUAUCAAGGGUGAGAAAAGAUUAAGCUCUCAAAACCUCAAGGGACCAACUCACACCACCACAACUCGCACAGAAUCCCAUAUGCUCGAGAAACAAACCCAACUGGAACCUAAGAAACCCCUCCGAUCUCCCUCAAGUGCUCUCCUUCCCCAGAUCUCCAGAAAAGAGAAUGACAUGAAAAGAAAAUGAAGCACAAAGAAAAAAAAUUGAUCAACAUAUGUCAAAAAAGGUCUUACCUUUGUUUUUGUAGAUUUUUCAUAUGUUUCUUUUCUCAUGGUUUUUCCUUUGUCUUUGCCAUCCUCAAGGGCCCAUUCUUUGGUGGGUAAACAUCAUAGUGAAGUUAGUUAACUUUCCCAUUAACCAACUUACCCAUGUUCUCAUGCUUCUCUAGAUGGGUAAAUUAUUUUUCCAUGAAUAACCUUUUUAUUUCAUUCUUAAUAUACCCUAACCCUAUAAUAAUAAUAAUAUAAUAUAAUACCAUCUUAUAUAUACUAUAAUAUUAUUACCAGGCAACAAUAAUUUAUUGUUUUAAUAUAAUAAUAUAUUAUAAUAAUAUAAUAUUAUAGUAUAAUAUCUUAUUUUAUUAUUAUAAUAUAAUAUUAAUAUCUUAUGUUAUUAUAAUAUAAUAUAAUAUAAUGUAAUAAUGCAUUAUUUUAUAUAUAUAUAAACAUUAUAUAUUAUAUUAUAAUAUAUACUUUAUUUUAUUAUAUAAUAUAAUUUAUUAUACUAUAUAUAGCAUAUAUUAACUACAUUUAUGAAUAUAUA
RNAcentral lists this long non-coding RNA (1874 nucleotides) under Elaeis guineensis (African oil palm). RNAcentral's name for it is "long non-coding RNA (EGUI_LNC032334)". The record is from RNAcentral. Lineage: Eukaryota; Viridiplantae; Streptophyta; Magnoliopsida; Arecales; Arecaceae.